This is a long non-coding RNA of Colossoma macropomum (tambaqui), 568 nucleotides long. RefSeq lists it as uncharacterized. The transcript has 4 exons. Lineage: Eukaryota; Metazoa; Chordata; Actinopteri; Characiformes; Serrasalmidae. The record is from RefSeq and is a predicted model, not a curated record.
CAUUGCAAGCAUCCGGGACUCUUGUGCGUGGGAGGGAGGACGACUAUAGCCCAAGAGUUAGCCUAUACUUUUAAAGAUGUCCUGAAAGACAGAGGACCUGAGCGCGAGCCGGGAGGAUGGUCACGACUCAGCAUGCAGUAAACAGGUGUAAAUGUUUUCAAAAAGGCUACCAUUCAAAAGGGAGAGACUGCCGAACUGACUAAAUGUGUGAAAAGGAUUUGAGACAGGAGGAGCACUAAUGUUGAAGGAGCCAAGUGACAAACAACCGGAUUCAAUUAAAACACAGUCCACACUUCAUAUCAGCAGCGUGAGGAGUGCUGUCCGUGCUGCUGUGCUGAGUGCGUGUGUGGUAGAACCUGCCCUGCAGUGUGGAGAUCACCCUUCUCUCUGAGUUCAAAGGCACAGGAGCUCAGAGGGCUGGAUUUGUUCAGGCAUAUUUGCUAAACCCCUGGAUUUGAAUUGUAGUGUUCGAGGCCCUGAGAUCACGUUUAAGAAAUGUUACAUUGUGAGAUUUUGUGUGAAAUCCCCAUAAUAAAUUCACCAAGUGUGCACAAGAAAUGGCUAUUUA